RNAcentral lists this transfer RNA (73 nucleotides) under Camelus bactrianus (Bactrian camel). It matches the Rfam family "tRNA". Rfam says of the family: Transfer RNA (tRNA) molecules are approximately 80 nucleotides in length. Their secondary structure includes four short double-helical elements and three loops (D, anti-codon, and T loops). RNAcentral also lists the same sequence under 1 other name. Lineage: Eukaryota; Metazoa; Chordata; Mammalia; Artiodactyla; Camelidae. The record is from Rfam by way of RNAcentral.
GAGGGUAUAGCUCAGUUGUAGAGCAUAUGCUUAACAUGCACAGGGUCCUGGGUUCAAUCCCCCGGUACCUCCA